This 465-nucleotide ribosomal RNA is filed under the name Vreelandella stevensii. RNAcentral describes it as "partial 16S ribosomal RNA". It matches the Rfam family "Bacterial small subunit ribosomal RNA", at positions 338 to 795 of the family's 1533-position model. Lineage: Bacteria; Pseudomonadati; Pseudomonadota; Gammaproteobacteria; Oceanospirillales; Halomonadaceae. The record is from RNAcentral.
CCUACGGGUGGCUGCAGUGGGGAAUAUUGGACAAUGGGCGAAAGCCUGAUCCAGCCAUGCCGCGUGUGUGAAGAAGGCCUUCGGGUUGUAAAGCACUUUCAGUGGGGAAGAAAGCCUUGGGGCUAAUACCCUCGAGGAAGGACAUCACCCACAGAAGAAGCACCGGCUAACUCCGUGCCAGCAGCCGCGGUAAUACGGAGGGUGCGAGCGUUAAUCGGAAUUACUGGGCGUAAAGCGCGCGUAGGCGGUCUGAUAAGCCGGUUGUGAAAGCCCCGGGCUCAACCUGGGAACGGCAUCCGGAACUGUCAGGCUAGGGUGCAGGAGAGGAAGGUAGAAUUCCCGGUGUAGCGGUGAAAUGCGUAGAGAUCGGGAGGAAUACCAGUGGCGAAGGCGGCCUUCUGGACUGACACUGACGCUGAGGUGCGAAAGCGUGGGUAGCAAACAGGAUUAGAUACCCGUGUAGUC